This 385-nucleotide long non-coding RNA is filed under the name Mus caroli (Ryukyu mouse). RNAcentral describes it as "lncRNA (MGP_CAROLIEiJ_G0004784.1)". Lineage: Eukaryota; Metazoa; Chordata; Mammalia; Rodentia; Muridae. The record is from RNAcentral.
AAAGAAAAGAAUCCCAGUACUUAGAAGGCAGAGGCAAACUGAUCUCUGUGAGUCAAGAGGCCAGCACAGUCAACACAGUGUGAUACCCUUGUCGCAAUAAACAAAACAAACCCGAACCUUGAAUGUGCUUGGAAAGUGCUUUACAACUGAGCCACAGCCUUUGUGGCUAAUUACUUUGCAUAAAAUACGAUCCACAGCUGGGCUUGCCUAUCAUCCCAAUACUCUGGAGGCUGAGAAGGGACUAGGACCUGGCCUGAAAUCCUCCUUUGAUGCACAUUUCCCAGUUACGUCAGAUUUUCCCCGAAGGCUAUCCUGGCUUGAGAGCGUUUUCGGCUUAGGGACUGCCCAAACAAAUCCAAACAAAUAAAACCACUGGCAAGUUUCC